UACGAGGGGGGCAAAUGUUGUUCGGAAUCACUGGGCGUAAAGGGAGCGUAGGCGGGUUUUUAAGUCAGGUGUUUAAUCCCGGGGCCCAACCCCGGACCGGCACUUGAAACUGGGAAUCUUGAAUAGGGGAGAGGUCAGUGGAAUUGGGGGUGUAGCGGUGGAAUGCGUAGAGAUCCCCAAGAACACCAGUUGCGAAGGCGGCUGACUGGACCCAUAUUGACGCUGAGGCUCGAAAGCAUGGGGAGCAAACAGG
This 253-nucleotide ribosomal RNA is filed under the name uncultured bacterium. RNAcentral's name for it is "partial 16S ribosomal RNA". It matches the Rfam family "Bacterial small subunit ribosomal RNA", at positions 524 to 776 of the family's 1533-position model. The record is from RNAcentral.